GAUGAACGCUGGCGGCGUGCCUAAUACAUGCAAGUCGAGCGAACGGACGAGAAGCUUGCUUUUCUGAUGCUAGCGGCGGACGGGUGAGUAACACGUGGAUAACCUACCUAUAAGACUGGGAUAACUUCGGGAAACCGGAGCUAAUACCGGAUAAUAUUUUGAACCGCAUGGUUCAAAAGUGAAAGACGGUCUUGCUGUCACUUAUAGAUGGAUCCGCGCUGCAUUAGCUAGUUGGUAAGGUAACGGCUUACCAAGGCAACGAUGCAUAGCCGACCUGAGAGGGUGAUCGGCCACACUGGAACUGAGACACGGUCCAGACUCCUACGGGAGGCAGCAGUAGGGAAUCUUGCGCAAUGGGCGAAAGCCUGACGGAGCAACGCCGCGUGAGUGAUGAAGGUCUUCGGAUCGUAAAACUCUGUUAUUAGGGAAGAACAUAUGUGUAAGUAACUGUGCACAUCUUGACGGUACCUAAUCAGAAAGCCACGGCUAACUACGUG
This 497-nucleotide ribosomal RNA is filed under the name uncultured bacterium. RNAcentral's name for it is "partial 16S ribosomal RNA". It matches the Rfam family "Bacterial small subunit ribosomal RNA", at positions 28 to 507 of the family's 1533-position model. The record is from RNAcentral.